This is a long non-coding RNA of Syngnathus typhle (broad-nosed pipefish), 919 nucleotides long. RefSeq lists it as uncharacterized. Lineage: Eukaryota; Metazoa; Chordata; Actinopteri; Syngnathiformes; Syngnathidae. The record is from RefSeq and is a predicted model, not a curated record. The transcript is spliced from 2 exons.
UUUAAUAAACACCCACCUGAAGGCACUUCUAGAAUUCUAAGGGUUGAGAGCUGUCACUCAACACACAAGGAUUGCGAAAUCCACCUCACAUGUGACAGUUUAAUUGCAACCCUCUUCGAUGAACCCACUUGUCCUUUCAGUUGGUUCAGGUGCACGUCUUCCCGAAGCCAACAUUGCUACAACUUUUUCCGGUAUCUGUGAAAUAUAUGAAACCAAAAACAGAAGGGGAAACCGUUUCCGAACUCGAACGGAGCAAUUCACUGGGGCCCCGAAAGUCUCAGAGUCAGUCAGAUUUAGAAGCAAGCCAGGGGAGUUCGGACCCAAGCUUUGAAGUCUCCAGCCCACAUUUCCUCUGAGUCACGAGUAAGCUCUGCUGCUUUUGUUUGCUACCGGACGUUGAAAGGAAGAGGACGCAUGGACCGGCCAGAUUGGGAACUCUGACAGCUUGUGACGCGGUGCAGCUCUUGGCGGGGAUUUUUGAAAAGUGACCACGCCUCUUCUGCCAGAGCUUGAGAAAGCAAAGCAAGGGAAAACACUCUCUGGGUCGAUAGCAACCACCAUUUGGUCAUGUCAGGUGUCCUCGCAGAUUGGUACUCUGAUUUGACGGACAGCUGGCAGGAGAGCGCUGGGACGCCCUCGCUCGCCUUGAGCUCCUGCUGCCGGGCCAUGUAGCCGUGAGAGGCUGCGGCCCGGAUAGCGCUCGGGAUGGGGAGCGCCGUGUGGACCGGCUUCACCGUGGAGGGUUGCCUGAGCUUGGAGGCGACGCCAACUACCGGCAUGGUAUAAUUGCCUCCGUUUCCAAAACAAUAAUAAAAGACUGGGACACGCCGGGUCCCGUGACGGAGGGGAAUUGAAGAAACCACAAUCGAGAAAACAAAAUAAAACGAAAGUAAAAAAAAAAAAGAAAAAAAAAAAGGAG